This 526-nucleotide ribosomal RNA is filed under the name Cochlostoma cretense. Its description in RNAcentral is "partial 16S ribosomal RNA". It matches the Rfam family "Bacterial large subunit ribosomal RNA", at positions 1811 to 2605 of the family's 2925-position model. Lineage: Eukaryota; Metazoa; Mollusca; Gastropoda; Architaenioglossa; Cochlostomatidae. The record is from RNAcentral.
AAACAUCUCUCUUUGAUUAAAAGUUAAACAUAAAGAGUUUGACCUGCCCAGUGAUAUAUUAUUCAACGGCCGCAGUACUCUGACUGUGCAAAGGUAGCAUAAUAACUUGCCUUUUAAUUGGUGGCUAGUAUGAAUGGUUUGACGAAAGCAUUUCUGUCUCAAAUAUAUUUUCUAUAAUUUAUCUUUUAGGUUAAAAGACUUAAAUAAAACUAAAGGACGAGAAGACCCUAUCGAGCUUUAAAAAACUUUAAGAAAAAACUUAUUAUAAAGAUUUAUUUUCUAAAAAAAUUUUUUGGUUGGGGCAACCUAGGAAUAAAUAAAACUUCCUUAAAUAAAUAAUAAUAAACACAAAGAUCCAACAUAAUGUUGAUAAAUGAAAUUAGUUACCGUAGGGAUAACAGCGUAAUUUUUUCUGAGAGAUCUUAUCGAAGAAAAAGCUUGCGACCUCGAUGUUGGAUUGAGAUAACUUAAAGGUGCAGAAAUUUUUAUAAGUUAGUCUGUUCGACUAUAAAAAUCUCACAUGAUC